AGCCUACGGGGCGCAGCAGUAGGGAAUUUUCGUCAAUGGGCGCAAGCCUGAACGAGCAAUGCCGCGUGAACGAGGAAGGUCUUCGGAUCGUAAAGUUCUGUUGAAGGGGAAAAAGAGCGGAGAGAGGAAAUGCUUUCUGAUUGAUAUUACCCUUCGAGGAAGUCACGGCUAACUACGCGCCAGCAGCCGCGGUAAUACGUAGGUGGCGAGCGUUAUCCGGAAUGAUUGGGCGUAAAGGGUGCGUAGGCGGCCUGCUAAGUCUGGAGUGAAAGGUACCGGCUCAACCGGUACAGGCUCUGGAAACU
RNAcentral lists this ribosomal RNA (305 nucleotides) under uncultured bacterium. RNAcentral's name for it is "bacterial SSU rRNA". It matches the Rfam family "Bacterial small subunit ribosomal RNA", at positions 335 to 634 of the family's 1533-position model. The record is from RNAcentral.